RNAcentral lists this ribosomal RNA (520 nucleotides) under uncultured Glomus. RNAcentral describes it as "SSU rRNA". It matches the Rfam family "Eukaryotic small subunit ribosomal RNA", at positions 569 to 1092 of the family's 1831-position model. The record is from RNAcentral. Lineage: Eukaryota; Fungi; Glomeromycota; Glomeromycetes; Glomerales; Glomeraceae.
AGCAGCCGCGGUAAUUCCAGCUCCAAUAGCGUAUAUUAAAGUUGUUGCAGUUAAAAAGCUCGUAGUUGAAUUUCGGGGUCAGUAGGUUGGUCGUGCCACCGGUAUGCACUGGCCAUACUGAUUCCUCCUUCUUGAAGAACCGUAAUGUCAUUAACUUGGUGUUGCGGGGAAACAGGACUGUUACUUUGAAAAAAUUAGAGUGUUUAAAGCAGGCUCACGCUUGAAUACAUUAGCAUGGAAUAAUGAAAUAGGACGUUUGAUUCUAUUUUGUUGGUUUCUAGGAUCGACGUAAUGAUUAAUAGGGAUAGUUGGGGGCAUUAGUAUUCAAUUGUCAGAGGUGAAAUUCUUGGAUUUAUUGAAGACUAACUACUGCGAAAGCAUUUGCCAAGGACGUUUUCAUUAAUCAAGAACGAAAGUUAGGGAUCGAAGACGAUCAGAUACCGUCGUAGUCUUAACCAUAAACUAUGCCGACUAGGGAUCGGAUGAUGUUAAUUUUUAUGUACUCAUUCGGCNCGUUACG